UGGCGAACGGGUGAGUAACACGUGAGUAACCUGCCCUUAACUCUGGGAUAAGCCUGGGAAACUGGGGUCUAAUACCGGAUAGGAGCGUCCACCGCAUGGUGGGUGUUGGAAAGAUUUAUCGGUUUUGGAUGGACUCGCGGCCUAUCAGCUUGUUGGUGAGGUAAUGGCUCACCAAGGCGACGACGGGUAGCCGGCCUGAGAGGGUGACCGGCCACACUGGGACUGAGACACGGCCCAGACUCCUACGGGAGGCAGCAGUGGGGAAUAUUGCACAAUGGGCGCAAGCCUGAUGCAGCGACGCCGCGUGAGGGAUGACGGCCUUCGGGUUGUAAACCUCUUUCAGUAGGGAAGAAGCGAAAGUGACGGUACCUGCAGAAGAAGCACCGGCUAACUACGUGCCAGCAGCCGCGGUAAUACGUAGGGUGCGAGCGUUAUCCGGAAUUAUUGGGCGUAAAGAGCUCGUAGGCGGUUUGUCGCGUCUGUCGUGAAAGUCCGGGGCUUAACCCCGGAUCUGCGGUGGGUACGGGCAGACUAGAGUGCAGUAGGGGAGACUGGAAUUCCUGGUGUAGCGGUGGAAUGCGCAGAUAUCAGGAGGAACACCGAUGGCGAAGGCAGGUCUCUGGGCUGUAACUGACGCUGAGGAGCGAAAGCAUGGGGAGCGAACAGGAUUAGAUACCCUGGUAGUCCAUGCCGUAAAC
Molecule: ribosomal RNA, 698 nt
Filed under: bacterium C-TJ11
Lineage: Bacteria
Description: bacterial SSU rRNA
Rfam family: Bacterial small subunit ribosomal RNA
Source: RNAcentral